GAUAAACGCUAGCGGUGUGCAUUAUGCAUGCAAGUCGAACGGUGCUUCGAAAGAGGCGCAGUGGCAAACGGCUGAGUAACACGUAAGUAACCUGUCCCAAAGUGGGGAAUAAUUCACCGAAAGGUGGACUAAUACCGCAUGUGGUAGUGGGGGUAGGUUCCCAUUACUAAAGCUCUAGGGCGCUUAGGGAGGGGCUUGCGACCUAUCAGGUAGUUGGUGGGGUAACGGCUCACCAAGCCGACGACGGGUAGCUGGUCUGAGAGGAUGUCCAGCCAGACGGGGACUGAGACACGGCCCCGACUCCUACGGGAGGCAG
RNAcentral lists this ribosomal RNA (316 nucleotides) under uncultured Chloroflexota bacterium. RNAcentral describes it as "bacterial SSU rRNA". It matches the Rfam family "Bacterial small subunit ribosomal RNA", at positions 28 to 351 of the family's 1533-position model. The record is from RNAcentral. Lineage: Bacteria; Bacillati; Chloroflexota.